This 428-nucleotide ribosomal RNA is filed under the name uncultured bacterium. RNAcentral describes it as "bacterial SSU rRNA". It matches the Rfam family "Bacterial small subunit ribosomal RNA", at positions 355 to 775 of the family's 1533-position model. The record is from RNAcentral.
UGGGGAAUUUUGCGCAAUGGGCUAACGCCUGACGCAGCAACGCCGCGUGGAGGAUGAAGGUCUUUGGAUUGUAAACUCCUGUCGGCAGGGAAAAAGCGAGCCGGCCUAAUACGCCGGUGAGUUGAUUGUACCUGCGGAGGAAGCCCCGGCUAACUCUGUGCCAGCAGCCGCGGUAAUACAGAGGGGGCAAGCGUUAUUCGGAAUUAUUGGGCGUAAAGGGCGCGUAGGCGGCCUGGCAAGUGGAAGGUGAAAUCCCUCGGCUUAACCGAGGAACUGCCCUCCAAACUGCUUGGCUUGAGUCCGGGAGAGGUGAGUGGAAUUCCCAGUGUAGCGGUGAAAUGCGUAGAUAUUGGGAGGAACACCAGUGGCGAAGGCGGCUCACUGGACCGGAACUGACGCUGAUGCGCGAAAGCGUGGGGAGCAAACGG